Molecule: ribosomal RNA, 256 nt
Filed under: uncultured bacterium
Lineage: Bacteria
Description: partial 16S ribosomal RNA
Rfam family: Bacterial small subunit ribosomal RNA
Source: RNAcentral
GCAAGUCGAACGGAAUCCAUGGUGUGCUUGCACACCGGAAGAUUUAGUGGCGAACGGGUGAGUAACACGUGAGGAACCUACCUCGAAGUUUGGGAUAACCCAGGGAAACUUGAGCUAAUACCAGAUGCCCUCUACGAGCCGAAUGGUUUGUUGAGGAAAGAUUUAUCGCUUCGAGAGGGCCUCGCGGCCUAUCAGCUUGUUGGUGAGGUAAUGGCUCACCAAGGCAUCGACGGGUAGCUGGAUUGAGAGGAUGAUC